RNAcentral lists this ribosomal RNA (253 nucleotides) under uncultured bacterium. RNAcentral describes it as "partial small subunit ribosomal RNA". It matches the Rfam family "Bacterial small subunit ribosomal RNA", at positions 26 to 286 of the family's 1533-position model. The record is from RNAcentral.
AGGACGAACGCUGGCGGCGUGCUUAACACAUGCAAGUGGAGCGACGAACCAGGCUUGCCCUGGGGCAGAGCCGCGAACGGGUGAGUAACACGUGGGUUACCUGCCCCGAUGACCGGGACAACCCGAGGAAACUCGGGCUAAUACCGGAUGUGGUCCUCGGACCAAAGGAAGCUUCGGCCUCCGCAUACGGGAUGGGCCCGCGGCCUAGUCAGCUUGUUGGUGGGUAACGGCCCACCAAGGCUCCGACGGGUAG